GACGAACGCUGGCGGCGUGCUUAACACAUGCAAGUCGAACGGAAAGGCCCUGCUUUUGUGGGGUGCUCGAGUGGCGAACGGGUGAGUAACACGUGAGUAACCUGCCCUUGACUUUGGGAUAACUUCAGGAAACUGGGGCUAAUACCGGAUAGGAGCUCCUGCUGCAUGGUGGGGGUUGGAAAGUUUCGGCGGUUGGGGAUGGACUCGCGGCUUAUCAGCUUGUUGGUGGGGUAGUGGCUUACCAAGGCUUUGACGGGUAGCCGGCCUGAGAGGGUGACCGGCCACAUUGGGACUGAGAUACGGCGCAGACUCCUACGGGAGGCAGCAGUGGGCAAUAGUGCACAAUGGGCGGAAGCCUGAUGCAGCAACGCCGCGUGCGGGAUGACGGCCUUCGGGUUGUGAACCGCUUUCGCCUGUGACGAAGCGGGAGUGACGGUAAUGGGUAAAGAAGCACCGGCUAACUCCGUG
RNAcentral lists this ribosomal RNA (468 nucleotides) under uncultured bacterium. RNAcentral's name for it is "partial 16S ribosomal RNA". It matches the Rfam family "Bacterial small subunit ribosomal RNA", at positions 28 to 507 of the family's 1533-position model. The record is from RNAcentral.